UACGAAGGGGGCUAGCGUUGUUCGGAUUUACUGGGCGUAAAGCGCACGUAGGCGGAUUCUUAAGUCAGGGGUGAAAUCCCGAGGCUCAACCUCGGAACUGCCUUUGAUACUGGGGAUCUCGAGUUCGGGAGAGGUGAGUGGAAUUGCGAGUGUAGAGGUGAAAUUCGUAGAUAUUCGCAAGAACACCAGUGGCGAAGGCGGCUCACUGGCCCGAUACUGACGCUGAGGAGCGAAAGCGUGGGGAGCGAACAGG
This 253-nucleotide ribosomal RNA is filed under the name uncultured bacterium. Its description in RNAcentral is "partial 16S ribosomal RNA". It matches the Rfam family "Bacterial small subunit ribosomal RNA", at positions 524 to 776 of the family's 1533-position model. The record is from RNAcentral.